AGCGAACGCUGGCGGCAGGCCUAACACAUGCAAGUCGAACGAACCUUUCGGGGUUAGUGGCGGACGGGGGAGUAACACGUGGGAACGUGCCUUUAGGUUCGGAAUAACUCAGGGAAACUUGUGCUAAUACCGAAUGUGCCCUUCGGGGGAAAGAUUAAUCGCCUUUAGAGCGGCCCGCGUCUGAUUAGCUAGUUGGUUGAGGUAAUGGCUCACCAAGGCGACGAUCAGUAGCUGGUCUGAGAGGAUGAUCAGCCACAUUGGGACUGAGACACGGCCCAAACUCCUACGGGAGGCAGCAGUGGGGUAUCUUGCGCAAUGGGCGAAAGCCUGACGCAGCCAUGCCGCGUGAAUGAUGAAGGUCUUAGGAUUGUAAAAUUCUUUCACCGGGGACGAUAAUGACGGUACCCGGAGAAGAAGCCCCGGCUAACUUCGUG
RNAcentral lists this ribosomal RNA (434 nucleotides) under uncultured bacterium. RNAcentral's name for it is "partial 16S ribosomal RNA". It matches the Rfam family "Bacterial small subunit ribosomal RNA", at positions 29 to 507 of the family's 1533-position model. The record is from RNAcentral.